Molecule: ribosomal RNA, 775 nt
Filed under: uncultured bacterium
Lineage: Bacteria
Description: bacterial SSU rRNA
Rfam family: Bacterial small subunit ribosomal RNA
Source: RNAcentral
AGAGUUUGAUCCUGGCUCAGGAUGAACGCUGGCGGCGUGCCUAACACAUGCAAGUCGAACGAAGCACUGAGACUUCGGUUUUUGUGCUUAGUGACGGACGGGUGAGUAACGCGUGAGCAAUCUGCCUUUCAGAGGGGGAUAACGAUUGGAAACGAUCGCUAAUACCGCAUAACGUAUUCGGACGGCAUCAUCUGAAUACCAAAGGAGCAAUCCGCUGAAAGAUGAGCUCGCGUCUGAUUAGAUAGUUGGUGAGGUAACGGCCCACCAAGUCGACGAUCAGUAGCCGGACUGAGAGGUUGAACGGCCACAUUGGGACUGAGACACGGCCCAGACUCCUACGGGAGGCAGCAGUGGGGAAUAUUGCGCAAUGGGGGAAACCCUGACGCAGCAACGCCGCGUGAUUGAAGAAGGUCUUCGGAUUGUAAAAAUCUUUUAUCAAGGACGAAGAAGUGACGGUACUUGAUGAAUAAGCUCCGGCUAACUACGUGCCAGCAGCCGCGGUAAUACGUAGGGAGCAAGCGUUAUCCGGAUUUACUGGGUGUAAAGGGCGAGUAGGCGGAUUGGCAAGUUGGGAGUGAAAUGUCGGGGCUUAACCCCGGAACUGCUUCCAAAACUGUUGAUCUUGAGUGAUGGAGAGGCAGGCGGAAUUCCCAGUGUAGCGGUGAAAUGCGUAGAUAUUGGGAGGAACACCAGUGGCGAAGGCGGCCUGCUGGACAUUAACUGACGCUGAGGAGCGAAAGCGUGGGGAGCAAACAGGAUUAGAUACCCCGGUAGU